CUAAGGACUGCCAAGAAAAGCUGCUAAACGUUGUAUUCUAGUUCGGCCCGUACCGCAAACCGACACAGGUAGUCAAGGAGAGUAUCCUGAGGCGCUCGAGUGAAUCACGGCCAAGGAACUCGGCAAAAUGGUCCUGUAACUUCGGGAGAAGGGACGCUUCCUCUAGUGAUAGAGAAGCCGCAGUGAAAAGACCCAAGCGACUGUUUAACAAAAACACAUGGCUUUGCUAACGCGUAAGCGGACGUAUAAGGCCUGACACCUGCCCGGUGCUGGAAGGUUAAGAGGGGAGCUUAGUCGCAAGGCGAAGGCUUGAAUCGAAGCCCCAGUAAACGGCGGCCGUAACUAUAACGGUCCUAAGGUAGCGAAAU
Molecule: ribosomal RNA, 368 nt
Filed under: Craspedostauros australis
Lineage: Eukaryota; Bacillariophyta; Bacillariophyceae; Mastogloiales; Achnanthaceae
Description: partial Bacterial large subunit ribosomal RNA
Rfam family: Bacterial large subunit ribosomal RNA
Source: RNAcentral